UAGGGAAUAUUGCAUAAUGGGCGAAAGCCUGAUGCAGCAACGCCGCGUGUGCGAUGAAGGCCUUCGGGUUGUAAAGCACUUUUGACCGGGAAGAGGAAGGACGGUACCGGUCGAAUAAGCCUCGGCUAACCACGUGCCAGCAGCCGCGGUAAAACGUAGGAGGCGAGCGUUAUCCGGAUUUACUGGGUGUAAAGCGCGUGCAGGCGGUAGGCUAAGUUGGGUGUGAAAGCUCCUGACUCAACUAGGAGAGGUCGCUCAAGACUGGCCAACUGGAGAGCAGUAAGGGAAGGUGGAAUUCCGGGUGUAGUGGUGAAAUGCGUAGAUAUCCGGAGGAACACCAGUGGCGAAAGCGGCCUUCUGGACUGCAUCUGACGCUCAGACGCGAAAGCUAGGGGAGCAAACGG
This 404-nucleotide ribosomal RNA is filed under the name uncultured bacterium. RNAcentral's name for it is "bacterial SSU rRNA". It matches the Rfam family "Bacterial small subunit ribosomal RNA", at positions 355 to 775 of the family's 1533-position model. The record is from RNAcentral.